UACUGCUCCUAAAGGAUA
Molecule: transfer RNA, 18 nt
Filed under: Cataetyx messieri
Lineage: Eukaryota; Metazoa; Chordata; Actinopteri; Ophidiiformes; Bythitidae
Description: partial tRNA-Leu
Source: RNAcentral